RNAcentral lists this long non-coding RNA (1007 nucleotides) under Coffea arabica (coffee). Its description in RNAcentral is "long non-coding RNA (CARA_LNC008012)". Lineage: Eukaryota; Viridiplantae; Streptophyta; Magnoliopsida; Gentianales; Rubiaceae. The record is from RNAcentral.
AAAGCGAUAAAAACCAGAAAAUCCAAAAAGUACCUUACAUACUAUAUACAAAUCCCAAAAAGAGUUAUAAUUACAUUCUCCAAAAGUAUCGAGUCAAACCACCAAAACAAAAACAAACAUCCUAACUGUUCAACUAUUACAAGCCAAGCUAACUAUACUAGUAUACGAGCCAAAAGUCCCCGCGUCGGCCCUGCUAAGGAAAACAAAAGGAAUGGGGUAAGCUAUAUACUUAGUAAGUAAACAGGGGCGAAAACAUAAAUUUCACGUAACAGUUACACAAUAAGAGUAAAGCAAAAGCAGAAAAGUAACAUCACAUAAUAAGGAUACAGGUGGCUCCAAAGCCAACUCAUGUGCCAUGCGUGAUCUCCUGCCGACACUCCGUCGACUGCAAAUAAUAGUCCGUAGAACUUCACUUGUACACCCACCGACACCUUAUCACCCUCACUGGCCAGUCACCUCACAAACUUGCCCGGGCGAACGAAAUCACAAACUUGAGCUUGAGUCACAAGCUCGGAUCACAAACUUGGUCACCUUCUCGGUGAACCGGAUUCACAAAAUUGGUUCAUAAAAUGAACCUACAAACUUGGUGACCUCAGACUAAGUUGGACUGCCUUCGACCAAGCCCUAACCGGCUCGAAUAGUCCAACCAGGUCAAGAGUUCGCCCCAAACUCACAAACUUCACAAAAUUAUUCAAAAUCACAAACUUUGCAAACUUCACAAACUUUAUUCGAAAGUCGCCCCGAGCCACAAGCUCAAGGGUUUUGGUUCCAAAAGGUUCAUAUACAUAUGCCAAGUACAAUUAUACAUUCAAAUUAGGGUUUAGGUCGAGUGCGAUAAAGUACACCCUCGCCUAAGUGCCCUUUUCACAUAUCUCAAACACAUAGCAAAGAAAACACACCAAACCGGCCUGAAUACUUACACAAAGUAUAAAAGUAGUACAAACGUGAAAAUCACUUCGUGCGUGUUCGCUAGUAGGGCCCACCAGCUCCGCCUAGCUCACCACGAU